AAGACUAUACUUUCUGGGAUGAUUUCUGUAGUUUGUUACUAGAGAAAUUUCUCUGAAUGUGUAGAGCACCAGAAACUAUGAGAAGGAGGUGCAGGGUUCUCCCCUGAGCAUGAAGCCAGCUUUUGGUGUUGCUUUGCUGCAAAUGCCACUUGCUCUUGAUGAUUGUUCUGGUCAGAAGGAGAACAUAGUUUGAAUGGC
Molecule: non-coding RNA, 198 nt
Organism: Otolemur garnettii (small-eared galago)
Lineage: Eukaryota; Metazoa; Chordata; Mammalia; Primates; Galagidae
Source: Rfam